GACGAACGCUGGCGGCGUGCUUAACACAUGCAAGUCGAACGGAAAGGCCUGCUUUCCCUUGUGGAUUGCGGGUGCUCGAGUGGCGAACGGGUGAGUAACACGUGAGUGAUCUGCCCCCAACUUGGGUAUAAGCCUGGGAAACUGGGUCUAAUUCCCGAUAGGACUGCAGGGUGGUGCCUGUGGUGGAAAACGAUUUUCUAGUGGUUGGGGAUGAGCUCGCGGCCUAUCAGCUUGUUGGUGGGGUAAUGGCCUACCAAGGCGGCGACGGGUAGCCGGCCUGAGAGGGUGGACGGCCACAUUGGGACUGAGAUACGGCCCAGACUCCUACGGGAGGCAGCAGUGGGGAAUAUUGCACAAUGGGCGGAAGCCUGAUGCAGCGACGCAGCGUGGGGGAUGACGGCCUUCGGGUUGUAAACUCCUUUCGACCGCGAGGAAGCCACCUGGUUGGAAGGGUGGUGACGGUAGUGGUAGAAGAAGCACCGGCUAACUACGUG
This 494-nucleotide ribosomal RNA is filed under the name uncultured bacterium. Its description in RNAcentral is "partial 16S ribosomal RNA". It matches the Rfam family "Bacterial small subunit ribosomal RNA", at positions 28 to 507 of the family's 1533-position model. The record is from RNAcentral.